UGAAGGCCUUCGGGUUGUAAAGUUCAGUAAGCAGGGAAGAAUAAGCGGGAGGUAAUAUUUCCCGUGAUGACGGUACCUGCCUAAAGCCCCGGCUAACUACGUGC
This 104-nucleotide ribosomal RNA is filed under the name uncultured bacterium. Its description in RNAcentral is "partial 16S ribosomal RNA". The record is from RNAcentral.